GACACUAUUGCUGGCCUGGGCAAAUGUGAAGGCCUAAUUAGUUUUUAUUUGUAUGUCUUUAGGUGACGCUUUUAUUCUGAAAAACACGCCCCGGAAGUCCUGUUUUGCAAGGAAGUUGAAAUGCAUCUAAACACAAGUCUUUAAAGCUGGAUCCGUGUUUCAUCAAGGGAAAUACACAAAGCAUGGAUAUCCUUAACAGACUGGAAAUCUACAUCCCAGUGGAAGCUGAGGUGAAAAACAUCCCUCUGUCGAGUUUACCAAACUCAGUGCUUACACGAAUGGGCCUCCCCUCGUCUAACUCUGACUCCAGGACUCUCACAGACUCUCCAGAAGGCAUAUGGAUUUGUCCAGCAGUGGUACGGAGGAAAGUCGAGAAACCGGCCUCCCAUACAGGAAGCGGUGAGAACAUGUCCUCACUGCUGGGCAGGGAGUUUCGGGCUGUUUCGGGUCCCUUCCUAAUGUCCUUCAUCUCCGCCAACCGCACAGCUUACGCGGUGCUGAAGGACACCAUGCCUGGAAAAAGUACUCACACAUCUCACACUUCCCUGUUACCUCAGGGCUUAGCAUCGCGGAAGUACAAAGACGCUGUUGUCAUCUACCGCGGACGCGUUUACCUCUCCACCAGGAAGUCCAAUCAAAGCCGGAGUCAACAAGAGAUGCAUGAAGCACAGGCAACUUCCCAGUCUUCCAUUCCUAAAAGCCGAACAAAGCGCCAGUCUCCCCGGGCUUCUCUUGAACCUGCAGAUAAAGAACUACAAAGGAAGAAAUUGCAUUUCACUUUGCCCCAAACAUCCCCAAAAAAGCUAAAGGAUCUUCUCACAAAAACAGAGAAUCCCUCCACCACAGACCGGGAGCUGCUAAAUGACAAGAAGAAACACACCACAUGUAAAGUAACACACAGUGAAAACAAGAAGGGGAGUGAUGUAUCCUCAUCCACAACUGCACAUUCUGUCCCUCGGUCCACGGACGGUGUGCACAAACUGGACAGCUCUAGUCAUGAGGAUACUGAUGGAGAGCAGGCUGAAGCAGCAGGGAAAGAGACAGCUUGGUUUCAGGCUGGGUGGGAGCAGGAGGGGGUGACUGACAGUGGUGAAUGUGAGACACACCUGGGAGAUGAAGAAUCUGACUGUUUACAAAUUGACAGUGGUGAAGCUGACAACAUUGUUGGUAUUGCAGAGCAGAGUAGCAACCAUAGCUGGAGCAGUAGAGAGUUUCAGAGGGCAGCUUGUGCCUCCACUUCACGACAGGAGCAGUUUGACUUGCUGGCAAAAGAGGAGAAGAUCGCUCAAGUGAAGGCCAAACUCAAGCUGAGUGAAGCUGCUCUUGACAGCCUGAACUCCUGACAGCAACUCUAAUUAAACUCACAUGAGGAGCACUCUGUUCUAUGAAUGUGUUCACAUGCGCAUUAGUGACCUGGUAUAUCCAGAAUAGGAUUAAAAUUCAUGGAAAGUAAUAAAACCAGGAUACUAGUGUACAUGUAAACGUACUACUUUCAUUGUGUCAUCGUGGUGAUCUUUAAUUUUCAAGCCUAAUACAUCAUACCAAUAUUUAUAAUAGUGUUACUAUUAUCUGACUAUCUUGAGAAAUGCUUGUCAUAAUGGGACCAUUAUAUGUAGAUAGUAAUUUUUUCUCUCAACCCCAUUUGUUCCCAUUACUAGUUAUGUGACUUAUCAAAAAUAAAAAGUCACAUAACUAGUAAUGGGAACAUAUGGAACAUAUCUGUUACUGGAGACUCAACCAAGAGACUUUAUGUUCACACAAACCUCAGAUGGGCCUCUCUUCUCAUUUUGUGUAUAAAAAAGUGAUUGGGACUUUCUGAAGUCUGGACCCCUGAUGUAGUGACUCCCUCCCCCUAUACAUUCAACCUGUUGUUGAGUUUGCCUCCAGCAAUUGCCAAUAUCAUUUUGUUUCAAAUGUAUAUCAUAUUAGACACAUAGACACUUUUAGCCAAAUGUUUGUUUGGAAAUUAAAUCUCAUAGGAUAUAUUUCUAUUUCUGCAAAUCUUUGUUUGCAAUAAAGAAGUGUGUGUGCGUGUACAAAGUUGUGUACUUUGUUGUUAUUUAUAGGAGAAUUCAAUAGAUUAUCUCCCAGGUGUCCUGCAUCCAUCUGCUCCUCACAUACAGUGUGAAAUACAUGUGACUGUCUUGAUAGCUUUGACUGAGAUUUGGUUUGUUUGAUACAUCUGGUGGAUUAGCAAUGAGCCACCUCCAGUAGGUUAAUUUAUUUUGGUUUUUCUGCGUAAUUCGAUCAAUUGAAAAUGUGUUUGGAAAUUGUCCAACUAUUUCUGUGACUUUAUGCCAAACAGCUCUUCUCUUGCUCUGAAUUGUUAUUGUACACAUAAAACUAGAAUGAUUUAUAUGAGCGAGGGCUGCUAUAUGUUUUGCAAACCACCAGAUGUAACUGCUUGCUGCGUUUAAAGUAAAAAAUCAAAAUAAAAUGAAGCUGUGAUGACUCCUCCACUCCACUAGGGGUCUCUGUGUUCUGUGCUUGCUGGCACCAGAUCGUCAGCUUGAUGAGCCACACCUGGGCCCGCUGUGGUUCAGGAUAUAAAGCUCACCACCUUCCUACAGCACUCCACCUCUCUUCCUUCAGACACAGCUGUGGUUCUAGUCACGCCUACCUCACCCACUAUCCCACAGUUAUGGUGGCCCUGGAAACUCAACUCCAGAAAACACAUACAAGUAGAUAAAGCACA
Long non-coding RNA from Cottoperca gobio, 2695 nucleotides. Ensembl lists it as uncharacterized. Lineage: Eukaryota; Metazoa; Chordata; Actinopteri; Perciformes; Bovichtidae. The record is from Ensembl.